RNAcentral lists this ribosomal RNA (501 nucleotides) under uncultured bacterium. RNAcentral's name for it is "partial 16S ribosomal RNA". It matches the Rfam family "Bacterial small subunit ribosomal RNA", at positions 28 to 508 of the family's 1533-position model. The record is from RNAcentral.
GACGAACGCUGGCGGCGUGCUUAACACAUGCAAGUCGAACGGGUCUGCCCUGUUUUUUGCGGGGUGGGUCAGUGGCGACCGGGUGAGUAACACGUGAGUAACCUGCCCCUCACUUCUGGAUAACCGCUUGAAAGGGUGGCUAAUACGGGGUGUUCUGGCUGUGCCGCAUGGUGUGGCUGGGAAAGAUUCACUUUUGUGGUGUUUUGGUGGGGGAUGGGCUCGCGGCCUAUCAGCUUGUUGGUGGGGUGAUGGCCUGCCAAGGCUUUGACGGGUAGCCGGCCUGAGAGGGUGGGCGGUCACACUGGGACUGAGAUACGGCCCAGACUCCUGCGGGAGGCAGCAGUGGGGGGUAUUGCACAAGGGGCGGAAGCCUGAUGCAGCGGCGUCGCGUGAGGGAUGGAGGCCUUCGGGGUGUGAACCUCUUUCGCCGGUGAAGAAGGUCCUGCUCUUUGUGGUGGGGUUGACGGUAGCCGGGUUAUGAAGCGCCGGCUAACUACGUGC